This 293-nucleotide unclassified non-coding RNA is filed under the name uncultured Bacteroidales bacterium. RNAcentral's name for it is "contains 16S-23S intergenic spacer region". The record is from RNAcentral. Lineage: Bacteria; Pseudomonadati; Bacteroidota; Bacteroidia; Bacteroidales.
GGACUACAAGGGUAUCUAAUCCUGUUUGAUCCCCACGCUUUCGUACUUCAGUGUCAGUUAUGGUUUAGUAAGCUGCCUUCGCAAUCGGAGUUCUGCGUGAUAUCUAUGCAUUUCACCGCUACACCACGCAUUCCGCCUACCUCAAACACACUCAAGUCUUCCAGUUUCAACGGCAAUUUUAUGGUUGAGCCACAAACUUUCACCGCUGACUUAAAAAACAACCUACGCACCCUUUAAACCCAAUAAAUCCGGAUAACGCUCGCAUCCUCCGUAUUACCGCGGCGGCUGGCACC